RNAcentral lists this ribosomal RNA (253 nucleotides) under uncultured bacterium. RNAcentral's name for it is "partial 16S ribosomal RNA". It matches the Rfam family "Bacterial small subunit ribosomal RNA", at positions 524 to 776 of the family's 1533-position model. The record is from RNAcentral.
UACGUAGGGGGCAAGCGUUGUCCGGAAUCAUUGGGCGUAAAGAGCGCGUAGGCGGUCCGGUAAGUCCGCUCUGAAAGCCCGGGGCUCAACCCCGGGAGGCGGGCGGAUACUGUCGGGCUAGAGUCCGGAAGAGGCGAGUGGAAUUCCCGGUGUAGUGGUGAAAUGCGUAGAUAUCGGGAGGAACACCAGUGGCGAAGGCGACUUCCUGGCCUGUUCUUGACGCUGAGGCGCGAAAGCUAGGGUAGCAAACGGG